Molecule: ribosomal RNA, 605 nt
Filed under: Geopora sp. 1 SE-2015
Lineage: Eukaryota; Fungi; Ascomycota; Pezizomycetes; Pezizales; Pyronemataceae
Description: eukaryotic LSU rRNA
Rfam family: 5.8S ribosomal RNA (bases 228-381)
Source: RNAcentral
UGCGGAAGGUCAUUAAUCGAAGCAACAUGUUUCUCAGCAUGGUAUUUCAAACCCCACCUGUGUAUUUUACCUGUUGCUUCCGUGCUGCGCAUGCUGCGAAUGUGUGCCUUGCGGUCCCGGGGAGUAACCACUACUCCUAGGGCGCGUGGGAGCCGGCACGGGAGGGAAACCCACAAACUCUUGCCCUUGAAUGCCUUCCGUCUGAACUGUAAUACAUGAAAAGUUAAAACUUUCAACAACGGAUCUCUUGGUUCUCGCAUCGAUGAAGAACGCAGCGAAAUGCGAUAAGUAGUGUGAAUUGCAGAAUUCCGUGAAUCAUCUAAUCUUUGAACGCACAUUGCGCCUCCUGGUAAUCCGGGAGGCAUGCCUGUUCGAGCGUCACUAAAACAAUAUCAACCAAAACCAAUUUUUGUGCUUGGUCAUGGAGGAAGAGUCCGCCGUGUUGCGGUCUCCCCUCCGAAAAUCAAUGGCGGAAGGUCGCUGGUACCCGGCGUUGGAGUAUUAUUCGCCGACCAUCCUGUGUCGUUCCUGCCUCCACACCCCCACAAUUCUCUUGAUUGACCUCGGAUCAGGUAGGGAUACCCGCUGAACUUAAGCAUAUCAUA